GCCGGGUAUGGUGGUGCAUGCCUGUAGUCCCAACUACUUGGAAGGCUGAGGCAGGAGAAUUGCUUGAACCCAGGAGGUGGAGGUUGCAGUGAGCCAAGAUCUUGCCACUGCACUUCCAGCCUGGGCAACAGAGCAAGACUCUGUUUCAA
Non-coding RNA from Gorilla gorilla gorilla (western lowland gorilla), 149 nucleotides. It matches the Rfam family "Metazoan signal recognition particle RNA". From Rfam's summary of the family: The signal recognition particle (SRP) is a universally conserved ribonucleoprotein. It is involved in the co-translational targeting of proteins to membranes. NCBI's taxonomy places the organism in Eukaryota, Metazoa, Chordata, Mammalia, Primates, Hominidae. The record is from Rfam.